GGAAUGCAGAAGCUGCCCUUUCGCGUGGGCGACGGGGGCGAGGGCCUCGGGGGCCGGCUUCUGACCCCGAGCAAGGCUGCGUUUGCGAACCGGGGCACGACCGAACCGGAGCACGUUGAAGCACCAGCAGAGCCAGCACUGAGCUGAACCAUAACUGCUGAAGUUGAGCUGUCAGCACGUUGCAGCCCACUGCUUCUGGGACCUCCCAGAUCAUGGAGAACCAUCUUGGCUUGCACAGAGGGGAAAAUGCUUUCCCACUGAAGCAAAAAUGAUCUAGUGCCUGGAACAGGGAAGACGCAGCCAGCGCAUGUGCGCUCGGUUCCUCAUUCUGCUCCGAGCUCUCUGCACUGACCUCUCCCCAUCGGCCACCGGAGCCAGGCAGCAGCAGUAGUCACCUGUCUUACGGGAAGAGCUUGUUCAGUAAGAGAUCCCAAGAGGAAAGAUAAGCAGCGCUACGUAGAAACGUGGCAAGAGCAGCCUGCCUUUGUGCUGGCGUAGCAGCCACUGCAGCGAGAUCUCUGGGCUUGAGCUGAUAUGAGGGUAAUAAAGUAAUAUAGAAAAUAAUAAAAAGUAUAAACAAAGAUCAAAUAUUAGAAGAGGCAGUGUCAUUAGGGAUUUCUUUCAGAGGUUUUCUUGGAUUGCUGUUGACAUUUUGCUCAUCCUCUUGAGGUAAUACUUAGUGCUUUCUGCUUUUCAAGGCUGUAGCAGUGCAGCAUUAACUGUUUGUUUAUUGUUUUGCUUUUUGGCACAGUUGAGCUCUUCAGAAAUGACUCUGUGGUAUUAAAGCUCAGCCCUGCCUUUGCUCAGGGUAUCCACCUGUAGCACUCUCUGGUGUUGGGGGUGGCAGAUAGGGCCACUGUUGGUUUGCAGGCCAGGACGUUCCCUGCGUUUGGGGUGAGAUGCCUGGGAAUGGGGUGACAAGCCUGCAAACCAGAGGAGCAUACAGUUCCCUGUGGUGGUCACAGCUUGCACAUCUCUGUGCAAGCACUCAGGUUGAUGGACUGUAUUGCAAAGUGCUUGAAAUUUUGUUGCUGGGAAAUGACAGGCAUUUUGCUUCAUGUUCUCAUUGUAUUUUUGGAAGCUUUUGCCCGAGGUCCACAUGUUUCUAUUUCUAAAGGACUGUUCUCCUAUGUGACACAUCCCGCCUGGUGGCUGGGCUGCUCUCUGCAGCUGGGCUCAGCUGCGUGGGGGCCUGGGCGAGCUGCUGCGGUGGGGCUGGGCGCACGGCGCUGUCCGGGGCUGUGCGCGUCGCUGCUGUGCUGCCGCGCCGGCAGGCGCCGGGCCAAAACGUGUGCUCGCGAGCGAUCACCCCGGCGGGGGCUCCCCUUCGCUCCGCUCACCCUGCGGCUUCAGCAGACGUUCCCUGUCCCCUGCCUGGUCCUGGAGAAGCCGUGCCCCUAAAUGAGCCGGGGGACAGGAAUGCCGAUAGAAGGGAUCUUCCAGCUCGAGUGCAGACUAGCUGCAUCUGCGUGAGAGUUACUCUUGGAAAGCAGAAGAAAAAUUGCAGCUGACUGGCUUAAAUUCAUGCCGAGUGCAAUUCCCUAGAAGCCGCCGAGCUGCCUGCGGAUGCAGUUUAUCCGUCGUAUCCCAUCGCCCCGGCCUUUCGGAUUGCUGGCCACCUCCCAGGCCGCCUGUGCUUCCUGAGGCUGUUUGCGGCGUCGGGGGACGCUGGGAAGGGGCAGCGCGGGAGCGCAGGAUGGAGCAGGGAUGGCAGGCGGCCCUGGGCAUGCUGCGCCCUCAGGGGCCUCCAUCUGCCCUGCCGCUUCCUCGCCCUUCCAAGGGCUGCGGUUCAAAGGCUGUGUCAGGGAAAAGACUGAUUUCCAUGAUGUGACGUUGGAGAGAGAGGUCUAUUUUGGAGUCGGGCUGAAUGUUGACACCCCCAAAAUGGAAAAGGCUGCAGCAGCCGGGAGCUGGACUGGGUGGGAGGCAACCUUGGGCAGUACCUGUCCUCCCUUUCCCCUCUGCAGAGCUGUUCCCAGUGCGGUUAGCAAGCGUGCAAGCCCUUGCUAGGAUUAACUUCAUUACUUCUUUUUUUUUUUUUUUUUUUUUUUUUUUUUUUAAAUCCCCCUCUGUUCUUUCUACCGGGAAAAUAGCCGCAGAGUCCCGCUCGGGCCCUUCGGGGACAGUGCUGGUGGCAGCGUCCGCAUUUUUUGGCCUCCUGCUGCCACCUGCCGCCAGCAGCCCGGGCUUCGCAGGCGAGCGGGCGCUCAGCGCUGGCUUUGCCCCCGCGCCCCCCCCGAGGAGACGGAGGCUCUUCUGCACCGCUGCCAGCAACUGUGGUUGCUCACCUCAUCAUACAGAGCUGAACUAUGAACCUUGGGUGAAAGCUGGCUGAUAACUGUUGAAAACACUGGGAAGUAAGUGUUCAAACAACAAAGUCGUGCUUUACCUCUGCAUAUCUUUUCUAGAAUCACCAAUAUUCUUACUGUGCUUGAACAAAGAUCUCUAGUGAUGUCUGAAAAAAAAGAGUUAUGCAGUGAUAUCUGCUGUCAGGAGAAGUUAGAAGAGGAAAUCCAGGACAAAUGGAACCAAACGCUUGGAAAUUCUCUGCUACAAAUUCCUUUUCAGUAGCUCACAUGCCCAGAUGGUGAUCUAGCAGACUGAAAGCAGAAUCACUGUUGUGCAGGAUGAAAGAGUCCAAGGAAUAAUUUGAAAAAAAAAAAUAAAAAAAAGAAUUAAGGGUAAAUUAUUUCUUGACCUUUUCCAGAAGAAGCUUCCAAACAGUUUGUAGAGGCAAAGCAGCACCUAAAAGGAGCACUCAGAAAAGGGCGAGUUUUACUUUUCCAGUGGAAUCCUCCCCUUUGAGAUUUCUUUUGGCCAUGCUUUUAUCAGAUUGUUGAACAAUUGUUAACGAAUAGACUUUUCUGCUCCUUGUCUCCCUUAUCCGAAAAGAGCGUUGUCCCUGCUGCCAUGUCCUUGCAUGUGAUGCCCCAAGGAAGUGUUGCAACUCAUUGGGGUCGGAUCUUCCCUUAGCUUUUGUUCAUGUAAAAACUUCAGAGAUCUUGUCUUACCCCAGUUCAGACUGAAAUUCUGGAAAAUUUGUUUCUUUUUUCUGUUUUUUUUAAUUAAAUUGUUAUUUUUUAAAUCGUUUCUAGUGAAUGUCACUUUUCCUUGCCUGCUUGCGGUGUGGGACCAGGAGGAUCUGUUCGCUCCGAACAACGUACAGUUAGCGUGGGAAGAACCUGCUGCCGGUGAAGCAGAGAAAGCAAUCAGCUUUUCCAUGCCCAGCCCCUUGGUCGCCACGGGCCGUCGUUCGACGCUCUGCGGAGCGCUAGCGCAGUGUCCUGAGCAGCUCUGUCGAAGCAGGCCAGCGCCCCGAAGGGUCUCCUUGCAGCCCCCCGCUCAAUCUGCGCAUCGUGGGGAGUAAGUAACCCUAGCAAUACGAUAGCUCGUUCAUCUCAAGGAUCUAAUUCUGCCGACAAUCAGAGAUUCGGCAGUGGCUAGAUUUGCACAAGCAUGAGCUUGGAAGAAAUUUGUGGAAAAAGGGCAGAGGUACACAUUUAUUCAUCUUAUUAAAAGCACUAAAAAUACAGAAUAAAUAUUUUAUUUGAAAUAUAUAUAUCUGUAAAAGCUUAUGCAAAACAUAA
This is a long non-coding RNA of Rhea pennata, 3587 nucleotides long. RefSeq lists it as uncharacterized. The record is from RefSeq and is a predicted model, not a curated record. The transcript has 3 exons. Lineage: Eukaryota; Metazoa; Chordata; Aves; Rheiformes; Rheidae.